CGCGGUACGUCAUCGGCUACCAUUUCUUAAGUUGUUUGGGCAGAUCUUUCUCUUGAAAAUGCUUUGUUGAUUCUCCGAGAAAUCACUUUUUUCUAGAUCUGUUGCACCAAAGAGCAAGCGAUACAAGACUAACCCAGCAAGCUGGACACCGAAUUCCGCACUGGGAGCUCGAUCAAGGACCGCCUGUGGCGCGGGCAACAAGAGCAGCUCCCAAUCGAAGUAAUGACCAGGGAAACACUUUUAUAGCUCUUGGAUCCGGGAGGUGCUGGGACAGGAAGCGCUUCUACAACUCGUGCAUCGGGGAAUCGAGAGAUUUCUCCAGAGAUUUCUCGCUGGUGCUCGCGGCAUUCAAGGCUUGCAGCUGGUGCCUCGGGCGGUGCUCAAUGUUUCUUUUUGGUUGUUACAUCGGCAGAUGGAGCUUGUGAUUCCCAAGUUAGGGCAGAUGAAAAAGCCCAUUCGGAGCCUUUUUCUGCGGAGAAGCAUUAGCACAGCAAUCACGCAGGGCCGAUUGUUUGCGCCACUAGGUAAUGUUGAUAUUAACUUCGCUUUUUACUGCAUGGUUUGGUUUGGCACAAUGGAUGAAAAUGGAAAACCAAGAAGCUUGAAUGGAUUAAAGUACCAUAAUUGGUGCUUUCCACACAACUAGGCGGGAGUAAACGAUGGUCAAGCAGGGCACAGAGCUCAUGGAACAUGGAUCCUAGGGCAAGCGGCGCAUUGCGGGAUCGCUCAUCCAUUCACGAGGUAAGAAUCAUCUUUAGCUUGGGUGGAUUUGGCGCUGGAGUGUCUUGUUUAGCUCACUCUAGGAGAAACCAUUCGGUCUCUCUUGCGACUUCUUUUGCUUAAGACGCGCUCAUAUUUUUCUUUCCUUUUCUUGUGUAGCUUAAAAAAAAUGCAAGACUCUGCUAGCAUGCAUCGUCAACAACAGCAGCAACUUUUCUCGUCAAGCUGGGCCUCACCUCCGCACU
Molecule: long non-coding RNA, 965 nt
Filed under: Selaginella moellendorffii
Lineage: Eukaryota; Viridiplantae; Streptophyta; Lycopodiopsida; Selaginellales; Selaginellaceae
Description: long non-coding RNA (SMOE_LNC000270)
Source: RNAcentral